RNAcentral lists this non-coding RNA (28 nucleotides) under Bombyx mori (domestic silkworm). The record is from RNAcentral. Lineage: Eukaryota; Metazoa; Arthropoda; Insecta; Lepidoptera; Bombycidae.
UAAGAUCAAGAAGUGAAGGAGCACAGUU